UGUUUGAUUCAAACAAAGCAUUGCAAGGGCCUGUGAGGGGUGCUGACCAUGGUGCUGAAGCGAUGUGAUUUCUGCCCAGUGCUUUGAAUGUGAAAGGGAAGAAAUUCAAUGAAGCGUUGGUGCACGUGUUCGUGUGUGGUUUA
This 143-nucleotide non-coding RNA is filed under the name Oryzias latipes (Japanese medaka). Its description in RNAcentral is "Eukaryotic large subunit ribosomal RNA". It matches the Rfam family "Eukaryotic large subunit ribosomal RNA", at positions 2139 to 2277 of the family's 3401-position model. Lineage: Eukaryota; Metazoa; Chordata; Actinopteri; Beloniformes; Adrianichthyidae. The record is from Rfam by way of RNAcentral.